AGAGAAACUCAAAUUAAGCUACAUAUUAUUUUUACUCUUUAUUGAGGAUGAUAAACCAACGAAGAUAAAAUAAUAAAAAUAUUUGACAGUACUGCAGUAUGGUAUUUUUGAGAUGAUAAUAUCAAUGCGGUCAAAAGGAAUUUAUUGUUUUUUAAUAAAAAGAAAAAGAAAAAGAAGAGAAAAGAAAGAUGGAUAGGGAUGGAGUUAGGCAGUAAAAAGAGGAGAGCGAUCACGCGAAUCUCGAGAGCAGAGAGAGAACAACAAGAGGGCACGUGGCAGAACAUGGAGAGAUUGUGAGAGAGUGGGAAAAGGACAGGGCACACGUGUUUGGUCAAAGGAGGACGCGUGGAUAAGGGCAGAAUCCGUACAUGUGUGGCACCCCAUAUUUUACUUCGUCGUACGGACACCUUGUAUUCUGUCGGCUAGUGGACUCUCCCUCACGUGACUUCCUCACGUGACUAAUAAAUUUCUCAUCCACCGUGCAUGUAUAUGUAUGAAUGAAUGUCAUGCUUCCCUUGUAUUGCAUAUGACAUCAACCAUAACAUUCAAUGAAUGCAACAUGGUAAAUAUUCGAACAACCAACCACACACAUGCAAACCCCUGAAAUGGAAACUUCUUUGUUUUCG
This 626-nucleotide long non-coding RNA is filed under the name Vigna radiata. RNAcentral describes it as "long non-coding RNA (VRAD_LNC007609)". Lineage: Eukaryota; Viridiplantae; Streptophyta; Magnoliopsida; Fabales; Fabaceae. The record is from RNAcentral.